This is a microRNA precursor of Prunus persica (peach), 106 nucleotides long. It matches the Rfam family "MIR828 microRNA precursor family". The record is from Rfam. Lineage: Eukaryota; Viridiplantae; Streptophyta; Magnoliopsida; Rosales; Rosaceae.
GUAAUGUUUCUUGCUCAAAUGAGUAUUCCAAGCCACAGUUGCAUGCAGUUUGCAAGCACUGGUGCUUCUGCAAUUCUGAGAUGCUCAUUUCAGCAAGCAGCGUUAC